RNAcentral lists this small nuclear RNA (107 nucleotides) under Echinops telfairi (small Madagascar hedgehog). Lineage: Eukaryota; Metazoa; Chordata; Mammalia; Afrosoricida; Tenrecidae. The record is from RNAcentral.
GUGUUUGCUUCGGCAACACGUGUGCUAAAAUUGGAAUGAUACAGAGAAGAUUAGCAUGGCCCCUGAGCAAGGAUGACACGCAAAUUCAUAAAGCAUACCAUAUUAAA